Molecule: ribosomal RNA, 507 nt
Filed under: uncultured bacterium
Lineage: Bacteria
Description: partial 16S ribosomal RNA
Rfam family: Bacterial small subunit ribosomal RNA
Source: RNAcentral
GAUGAACGCUAGCUACAGGCUUAACACAUGCAAGUCGAGGGGAAACGAUAUUGGAAGCUUGCCUCCGAUAGGCGUCGACCGGCGCACGGGUGAGUAACGCGUAUCCAACCCGCCCAUCACUUGGGGAUAACCUUGCGAAAGUAAGACUAAUACCCAAUGAUAUCUCUAGAAGACAUCUGAAAGGGAUUAAAGAUUUAUCGGUGAUGGAUGGGGAUGCGUCUGAUUAGCUUGUUGGCGGGGUAACGGCCCACCAAGGCGACGAUCAGUAGGGGUUCUGAGAGGAAGGUCCCCCACAUUGGAACUGAGACACGGUCCAAACUCCUACGGGAGGCAGCAGUGAGGAAUAUUGGUCAAUGGACGAGAGUCUGAACCAGCCAAGUAGCGUGCAGGAUGACGGCCCUAUGGGUUGUAAACUGCUUUUAUAAGGGAAUAAAGUGAGCCUCGUGAGGCUUUUUGCAGUACCUUAUGAAUAAGGACCGGCUAAUUCCGUGCCAGCCGCCGCAGUAA